Long non-coding RNA from Cyprinus carpio carpio, 538 nucleotides. NCBI's taxonomy places the organism in Eukaryota, Metazoa, Chordata, Actinopteri, Cypriniformes, Cyprinidae. The record is from Ensembl.
CUCUGGAGAGACUAGGCCCUGGUUGAGCUUAAGUCGAGAUUUCUUUCCUCAAGGCGACUCUCAGACCUGCUGCCAAAUUUAACACCUCAGGCUAUUCAGAAGUAAAGAUGACUGAAUCUCAACACUUGAGCUGGAGGUAAUCAUCGCAGGUGUAUCCAGUGAAGAUGGAGGUGCCUUGGUCCUGUUGUCUGACACCUACAAUGAAUAAACCGUCCCUGCAGCUGUGGCCAUGGACAUCAGUGCUGAAGAUCUUCCAUCACACUGAAACUAACACUGUCCAUUGUACUGAGCUGUUGCUGGAGGAAUUUUUUUUUUUUUUUUUACUGGUUACAUUUUUUUUUAUUAAUUCAGUGUUCAUGAAUGUUCAUGUAAAUUUCAAUUUAAAAUGUGUUCUUUUUAAUAAGUUUUGUAAAAAAUUAAAUAAAAAUUGCAUUCUAUAAAAGUAAAAUAAAUAAAGUCUGAUGCGUCUUAUCACCUCCCUACCUUUAAAUACAAAUGCUUAAUGCUGCUGAUCGUAAUGCUACCAAGUAUGUUAAAC